RNAcentral lists this transfer RNA (74 nucleotides) under Candidatus Iainarchaeum sp. RNAcentral describes it as "tRNA-Arg". It matches the Rfam family "tRNA". Rfam says of the family: Transfer RNA (tRNA) molecules are approximately 80 nucleotides in length. Their secondary structure includes four short double-helical elements and three loops (D, anti-codon, and T loops). Further hydrogen bonds mediate the characteristic L-shaped molecular structure. tRNAs have two regions of fundamental functional importance: the anti-codon, which is responsible for specific mRNA codon recognition, and the 3' end, to which the tRNAs corresponding amino acid is attached (by aminoacyl-tRNA synthetases). tRNAs cope with the degeneracy of the genetic code in two manners: having more than one tRNA (with a specific anti-codon) for a particular amino acid; and 'wobble' base-pairing, i.e. permitting non-standard base-pairing at the 3rd anti-codon position. Lineage: Archaea; Nanobdellati; Candidatus Iainarchaeota; Candidatus Iainarchaeia; Candidatus Iainarchaeales; Candidatus Iainarchaeaceae. The record is from RNAcentral.
GCUCCCAUGGUGUAGCCUGGAUAGCAUAUCAGCUUGCGGAGCUGACGACGGGGGUUCAAAUCCCUCUGGGAGCG